This 78-nucleotide small RNA is filed under the name Flavobacterium crassostreae. Its description in RNAcentral is "Flavo-1 RNA". It matches the Rfam family "Flavo-1 RNA". The record is from Rfam by way of RNAcentral. Lineage: Bacteria; Pseudomonadati; Bacteroidota; Flavobacteriia; Flavobacteriales; Flavobacteriaceae.
UUUUAGCCCUGAUGGUAGCGGCAUCCUUUUGCUUUUUUCUUUAAAAAGCAAAAGAUAUAGCGGACAGCAGGAAUUAGC